CGCGGGGUAGAGAAGCAGUAUCUCGCGGGGCCCAUAACCCCGAGACACAGGUGCAAUUCCUGUCCCCGCAA
This 71-nucleotide transfer RNA is filed under the name Parcubacteria group bacterium. RNAcentral's name for it is "tRNA-Met". It matches the Rfam family "tRNA". Rfam says of the family: Transfer RNA (tRNA) molecules are approximately 80 nucleotides in length. Their secondary structure includes four short double-helical elements and three loops (D, anti-codon, and T loops). The record is from RNAcentral.